UACAGAGGUCCCAAGCGUUGUUCGGAUUUAUUGGGCGUAAAGGGUGCGUAGGCGGCGGAGUAAGUUGGGUGUGAAAUCCCGGGGCUCAACCUCGGAAUUGCAUUCAAUACUGCUUCGCUCGAGUACUGGAGAGGAGACUGGAAUUUACGGUGUAGCAGUGAAAUGCGUAGAUAUCGAGAGGAACACCUGCGGCGAAGGCGGGUAGCUGGGCCGACACUGACGCUGAGGCGCGAAAGCCAGGGGAGCGAACGGG
This 253-nucleotide ribosomal RNA is filed under the name uncultured bacterium. RNAcentral describes it as "partial 16S ribosomal RNA". It matches the Rfam family "Bacterial small subunit ribosomal RNA", at positions 524 to 776 of the family's 1533-position model. The record is from RNAcentral.